CUUCACUGCAACUUCUCUGCCAUCCGUCAACCUGCCGUAGUACACGGGGCCGAAGCCUCCUCUCCCGAUCACCUUCUUGUAGUUGGCCGUUGCAGCAACGAUCUCGUCGGGAGAGAAUUUUCGGGCACCUGUGGUCAUAGAUUGUAAGUGCCUGCUUCCAUCUUCCAGCUAUAUUGCUGCGUGAGAGUAAAUGAGUCGUUGACCAACAGCUGCACGCGGUACAAUUCAUCGCUGCUUUAGGGUGUAGGGUGUGAGAUAAAGCUAACAACUGACCUCCAUGAAUGUUUGAAGUUAGGUUGAUGUUGAUCUCCUUGCUUACAAUGUUUGGAUUCGAAUUUCCAACUAUUAGGGUGUCCAUAUCUUUUGCAGGACGACGAUUUCGACGGCAAACUAAGUAGUACACAAGAGCAACCACGAUCGCCACAAAUGCCACUCCUCCUGCCACUCCACCUACAAUGGCUGCAGUAUUGGUUGAAGGCGAUGCUGGCAGUGUCGCAUUCAAGAGCG
RNAcentral lists this long non-coding RNA (507 nucleotides) under Physcomitrium patens. RNAcentral describes it as "long non-coding RNA (PPAT_LNC000536)". The record is from RNAcentral. Lineage: Eukaryota; Viridiplantae; Streptophyta; Bryopsida; Funariales; Funariaceae.